RNAcentral lists this long non-coding RNA (393 nucleotides) under Rattus norvegicus (Norway rat). RNAcentral describes it as "long non-coding RNA NONRATT019872". Lineage: Eukaryota; Metazoa; Chordata; Mammalia; Rodentia; Muridae. The record is from RNAcentral.
GAAGCCACCUCAAAGGCCCCACAAGGAGUAGCUGCUUGCUCACACACCUUAACUGGCCCGCCUGUAGCUACAGUGUUGGGAACUGAUUAGAGGCAAUCUAAUGUGUUGGACUCCAGAGUCACCUAUGUUCCUCCCCAUGCUGACUUCCCGUGGUGUUCGUCUUACAGAGGUUAUGCAUGUAUGUAUGGUACCUGGCACACAGUAGGGGGUCUAUAACAGGUAGGCCAGUCACUACCAUCAGUCACAGUGGACUAGCAACUGCUAUCCCUAAACUGAGAAGAAUGAGUUGUUAUGGGCGGUAUUGUUUAGGUCCUCCCAGUUCCAUCUCCCUCAGAGAGGAUCUGUCUUCUGAAGGCUGCCAGCUAGAGAAUAGCACUCACCUGGCUGCCUAAA